AGUGAACGCUGGCGGUAUGCCUAACACAUGCAAGUCGAACGGCAGCACAGUAAGAGCUUGCUCCUACGGGUGGCGAGUGGCGGACGGGUGAGGAAUGCAUCGGAAUCUACUUUUUCGUGGGGGAUAACGUAGGGAAACUUACGCUAAUACCGCAUACGACCUACGGGUGAAAGCAGGGGAUCUUCGGACCUUGCGCGAUUGAAUUAGCCGAUGUCGGAUUAGCUAGUUGGCGGGGUAAAGGCCCACCAAGGCGACGAUCCGUAGCUGGUCUGAGAGGAUGAUCAGCCACACUGGAACUGAGACACGGUCCAGACUCCUACGGGAGGCAGCAGUGGGGAAUCUUGGACAAUGGGCGAAAGCCUGAUCCAGCAAUGCCGCGUGGGUGAAGAAGGCCUUCGGGUUGUAAAGCCCUUUUGUUGGGAAAGAAAAGCAGCAGGUUAAUACCCCGCUGUUCUGACGGUACCCAAAGAAUAAGCACCGGCUAACUUCGUG
Molecule: ribosomal RNA, 492 nt
Filed under: uncultured bacterium
Lineage: Bacteria
Description: partial 16S ribosomal RNA
Rfam family: Bacterial small subunit ribosomal RNA
Source: RNAcentral